This 337-nucleotide unclassified non-coding RNA is filed under the name soil metagenome. Its description in RNAcentral is "partial contains 5.8S ribosomal RNA, internal transcribed spacer 2, and large subunit ribosomal RNA". The stretch from base 1 to 120 matches the Rfam family "5.8S ribosomal RNA", at positions 35 to 154 of the family's 154-position model. The record is from RNAcentral.
GAUGAAGAACGUAGUGAAAUGCGAUAAGUAGUGUGAAUUGCAGAAUUCAGUGAAUCAUCGAAUCUUUGAACGCACAUUGCGCCCCUUGGUAUUCCAUGGGGCAUGCCUGUUCGAGCGUCAUUUGUACCUUCAAGCUCUGCUUGGUGUUGGGUGUUUGUCUCGCCUCUGCGUGUAGACUCGCCUCAAAACAAUUGGCAGCCGGCGUAUUGAUUUCGGAGCGCAGUACAUCUCGCGCUUUGCACUCAUAACGACGACGUCCAAAAGUACAUUUUUACACUCUUGACCUCGGAUCAGGUAGGGAUACCCGCUGAACUUAAGCAUAUCAAUAAGCGGAGGA